RNAcentral lists this ribosomal RNA (564 nucleotides) under uncultured bacterium. RNAcentral describes it as "bacterial SSU rRNA". It matches the Rfam family "Bacterial small subunit ribosomal RNA", at positions 879 to 1443 of the family's 1533-position model. The record is from RNAcentral.
AGUACGGCCGCAAGGUUAAAACUCAAAGGAAUUGACGGGGACCCGCACAAGCGGUGGAUUAUGUGGAUUAAUUCGAUGCAACGCGAAAAACCUUACCUACCCUUGACAUGUAUGGAACCCUCCAGAGAUGGAGGGGUGCCCGAAAGGGAGCCGUAACACAGGUGCUGCAUGGCUGUCGUCAGCUCGUGUCGUGAGAUGUUGGGUUAAGUCCCGCAACGAGCGCAACCCUUGCCAUUAGUUGCUACAUUCAGUUGGGCACUCUAAUGGGACUGCCGGUGACAAACCGGAGGAAGGUGGGGAUGACGUCAAGUCCUCAUGGCCCUUAUGGGUAGGGCUUCACACGUAAUACAAUGGCCGGUACAGAGGGCAGCCAACCCGCGAGGGGGAGCUAAUCCCAGAAAGCCGGUCGUAGUCCGGAUUGUAGUCUGCAACUCGACUGCAUGAAGCCGGAAUCGCUAGUAAUCGCGGAUCAGCAUGUCGCGGUGAAUACGUUCCCGGGUCUUGUACACACCGCCCGUCACACCAUGGGAGUGGGUUCCACCAGAAGUAGUUAGCCUAACCGCA